RNAcentral lists this ribosomal RNA (325 nucleotides) under uncultured eukaryote. Its description in RNAcentral is "partial 18S ribosomal RNA". It matches the Rfam family "Eukaryotic small subunit ribosomal RNA", at positions 1470 to 1796 of the family's 1831-position model. The record is from RNAcentral.
CCCUUAGAUGUUCUGGGCCGCACGCGCGCUACACUGAUGCAUCCAACGAGCCUAUCCUUGACCGACAGGUCCGGGUAAUCUUUGAAUCUGCAUCGUGACGGGGAUAGAUUAUUGCAAUUAUUAAUCUUCAACGAGGAAUGCCUAGUAGGCGCAAGUCAUCAGCUUGCGUCGAUUACGUCCCUGCCCUUUGUACACACCGCCCGUCGCUCCUACCGAUUGGGUGUGCUGGUGAAAUGUUCGGAUCGGCCGUUUGUCGCGGUUUCCGCGGCUCGUGGCUGAGAAGUUCAUUAAACCCUCCCACCUAGAGGAAGGAGAAGUCGUAACA